UGGGGAAUAUUGCGCAAUGGGGGAAACCCUGACGCAGCAACGCCGCGUGAGUGAAGAAGGUCUUCGGAUCGUAAAACUCUGUCAUUGGGGAAGAAAAAGAUGACGGUACCCAAUGAGGAAGCCCCGGCUAACUACGUGCCAGCAGCCGCGGUAAUACGUAGGGGGCAAGCGUUGUCCGGAAUUACUGGGCGUAAAGGGUGCGUAGGCGGCCGAUCAAGUCAGAUGUGAAAUACCAGGGCUUAACCUUGGGGGUGCAUUUGAAACUGGUUGGCUUGAGUGCAGGAGAGGAAAGUGGAAUUCCUAGUGUAGCGGUGAAAUGCGUAGAGAUUAGGAGGAACACCAGUGGCGAAGGCGACUUUCUGGACUGUAACUGACGCUGAGGCACGAAAGCGUGGGGAGCGAACAGG
This 407-nucleotide ribosomal RNA is filed under the name uncultured bacterium. RNAcentral's name for it is "bacterial SSU rRNA". It matches the Rfam family "Bacterial small subunit ribosomal RNA", at positions 355 to 776 of the family's 1533-position model. The record is from RNAcentral.